AUUGAACGCUGGCGGCAGGCCUAACACAUGCAAGUCGAGCGGAUGAAGGGAGCUUGCUCCUGGAUUCAGCGGCGGACGGGUGAGUAAUGCCUAGGAAUCUGCCUGGUAGUGGGGGAUAACGUCCGGAAACGGGCGCUAAUACCGCAUACGUCCUGAGGGAGAAAGUGGGGGAUCUUCGGACCUCACGCUAUCAGAUGAGCCUAGGUCGGAUUAGCUAGUUGGUGGGGUAAAGGCCUACCAAGGCGACGAUCCGUAACUGGUCUGAGAGGAUGAUCAGUCACACUGGAACUGAGACACGGUCCAUAGUCCUACGGGAGGCAGCAGUGGGGAAUAUUGGACAAUGGGCGAAAGCCUGAUCCAGCCAUGCCGCGUGUGUGAAGAAGGUCUUCGGAUUGUAAAGCACUUUAAGUUGGGAGGAAGGGCAGUAAGUUAAUACCUUGCUGUUUUGACGGUACCAACAGAAUAAGCACCGGCUAACUUCGUG
Molecule: ribosomal RNA, 484 nt
Filed under: uncultured bacterium
Lineage: Bacteria
Description: partial 16S ribosomal RNA
Rfam family: Bacterial small subunit ribosomal RNA
Source: RNAcentral